GAUGAACGCUGGCGGCGUGCCUAAUACAUGCAAGUCGAGCGAACGGACGAGAAGCUUGCUUCUCUGAUGUUAGCGGCGGACGGGUGAGUAACACGUGGAUAACCUACCUAUAAGACUGGGAUAACUUCGGGAAACCGGAGCUAAUACCGGAUAAUAUUUUGAACCGCAUGGUUCAAAAGUGAAAGACGGUCUUGCUGUCACUUAUAGAUGGAUCCGCGCUGCAUUAGCUAGUUGGUAAGGUAACGGCUUACCAAGGCAACGAUGCAUAGCCGACCUGAGAGGGUGAUCGGCCACACUGGAACUGAGACACGGUCCAGACUCCUACGGGAGGCAGCAGUAGGGAAUCUUCCGCAAUGGGCGAAAGCCUGACGGAGCAACGCCGCGUGAGUGAUGAAGGUCUUCGGAUCGCAAAACUCUGUUAUUAGGGAAGAACAUAUGUGUAAGUAACUGUGCACAUCUUGACGGUACCUAAUCAGAAAGCCACGGCUAACUACGUGCCAGCAGCCGCGGUAAUACGUAGGUGGCAAGCGUUAUCCGGAAUUAUUGGGCGUAAAGCGCGCGUAGGCGGUUUUUUAAGUCUGAUGUGAAAGCCCACGGCUCAACCGUGGAGGGUCAUUGGAAACUGGAAAACUUGAGUGCAGAAGAGGAAAGUGGAAUUCCAUGUGUAGCGGUGAAAUGCGCAGAGAUAUGGAGGAACACCAGUGGCGAAGGCGACUUUCUGGUCUGUAACUGACGCUGAUGUGCGAAAGCGUGGGGAUCAAACAGGAUUAGAUACCCUGGUAGUCCACGCCGUAAACGAUGAGUGCUAAGUGUUAGGGGGUUUCCGCCCCUUAGUGCUGCAGCUAACGCAUUAAGCACUCCGCCUGGGGAGUACGACCGCAAGGUUGAAACUCAAAGGAAUUGACGGGGACCCGCACAAGCGGUGGAGCAUGUGGUUUAAUUCGAAGCAACGCGAAGAACCUUACCAAAUCUUGACAUCCUUUGACAACUCUAGAGAUAGAGCCUUCCCCUUCGGGGGGCAAAGUGACAGGUGGUGCAUGGUUGUCGUCAGCUCGUGUCGUGAGAUGUUGGGUUAAGUCCCGCAACGAGCGCAACCCUUAAGCUUAGUUGCCAUCAUUAAGUUGGGCACUCUAAGUUGACUGCCGGUGACAAACCGGAGGAAGGUGGGGAUGACGUCAAAUCAUCAUGCCCCUUAUGAUUUGGGCUACACACGUGCUACAAUGGACAAUACAAAGGGCAGCGAAACCGCGAGGUCAAGCAAAUCCCAUAAAGUUGUUCUCAGUUCGGAUUGUAGUCUGCAACUCGACUACAUGAAGCUGGAAUCGCUAGUAAUCGUAGAUCAGCAUGCUACGGUGAAUACGUUCCCGGGUCU
RNAcentral lists this ribosomal RNA (1372 nucleotides) under uncultured bacterium. Its description in RNAcentral is "bacterial SSU rRNA". It matches the Rfam family "Bacterial small subunit ribosomal RNA", at positions 28 to 1381 of the family's 1533-position model. The record is from RNAcentral.